Molecule: ribosomal RNA, 306 nt
Filed under: uncultured bacterium
Lineage: Bacteria
Description: partial 16S ribosomal RNA
Rfam family: Bacterial small subunit ribosomal RNA
Source: RNAcentral
GACAGCAGCCGCCGCGGUAAAACGGAGGGUGCAAGCGUUAAUCGGAAUUACUGGGCGUAAAGCGCACGCAGGCGGUCUGACAAGUCAGAUGUGAAAUCCCCGGGCUUAACCUGGGAACUGCAUUUGAAACUGUCAGGCUGGAGUCUUGUAGAGGGGGGUGGAAUUCCAGGUGUAGCGGUGAAAUGCGUAGAGAUCUGGAGGAAUACCGGUGGCGAAGGCGGCCCCCUGGACAAAGACUGACGCUCAGGUGCGAAAGCGUGGGGAGCAAACAGGAUUAGAUACCCCAGUAGUCCCUGUCUCUUAUAC